Molecule: long non-coding RNA, 262 nt
Filed under: Lathyrus oleraceus (garden pea)
Lineage: Eukaryota; Viridiplantae; Streptophyta; Magnoliopsida; Fabales; Fabaceae
Description: Pisum sativum (pea) long non-coding RNA (PSAT_LNC015648)
Source: RNAcentral
AGAUUAUUUGCAGCCAUUUGUUUGACAAUAUCUUCUAGUGAAGGUCCAGAAGGUGCAGAGUACACAACCUCAAAUUCCUUUAGAUGCUCAUGUGGAUCCUCACCUGCAAGACCACUAAACCUUGGAAACAAAUGUAUUAAACCAGAUUUCAAUUCAAAAGGAACCGAAACAUCAGAAUAUUCAAUACAAAAGUCAUUAUAAUUAACAUCAGGAGCAGCAAACUGCCUUAAUGUUCUUUGAUCAUCCAUGUAAUAAAAAAAAC